AUACGUAGGGUGCAAGCGUUAAUCGGAAUUACUGGGCGUAAAGCGUGCGCAGGCGGUUCGGAAGGAAAGAUGUGAAAUCCCAGGGCUUAACCUUGGAACUGCAUUUUUAACUGCCGGGCUAGAGUAUGUCAGAGGGGGGUAGAAUUCCACGUGUAGCAGUGAAAUGCGUAGAGAUGUGGAGGAAUACCGAUGGCGAAGGCAGCCCCCUGGGAUGAUACUGACGCUCAUGCACGAAAGCGUGGGGAGCAAACAGGAUUAGCUACCCUGGUAGUCCACGCCCUAAACGAUGUCAACUAGCUGUUGGGGCCUUCGGGCCUUAGUAGCGCAGCUAACGCGUGAAGUUGACCGCCUGGGGAGUACGGUCGCAAGAUUAAA
Molecule: ribosomal RNA, 375 nt
Filed under: uncultured bacterium
Lineage: Bacteria
Description: bacterial SSU rRNA
Rfam family: Bacterial small subunit ribosomal RNA
Source: RNAcentral